UACGUAGGGUGCGAGCGUUAAUCGGAAUUACUGGGCGUAAAGCGUGCGCAGGCGGUUUUGUAAGUUUGUCGUGAAAGCCCCGGGCUCAACCUGGGAAUUGCGAUGAAGACUGCAAGGCUUGAAUCUGGCAGAGGGGGGUAGAAUUCCACGUGUAGCAGUGAAAUGCGUAGAGAUGUGGAGGAACACCGAUGGCGAAGGCAGCCCCCCUGGGUCAAGAUUGACGCUCAUGCACGAAAGCGUGGGGAGCAAACAGG
This 254-nucleotide ribosomal RNA is filed under the name uncultured bacterium. RNAcentral's name for it is "partial 16S ribosomal RNA". It matches the Rfam family "Bacterial small subunit ribosomal RNA", at positions 524 to 776 of the family's 1533-position model. The record is from RNAcentral.